RNAcentral lists this ribosomal RNA (380 nucleotides) under uncultured bacterium. Its description in RNAcentral is "bacterial SSU rRNA". It matches the Rfam family "Bacterial small subunit ribosomal RNA", at positions 28 to 413 of the family's 1533-position model. The record is from RNAcentral.
GACGAACGCUGGCGGCGUGCUUAACACAUGCAAGUCGAACGGUGAACCCCUUCGGGGGGGAUCAGUGGCGAACGGGUGAGUAACACGUGAGCAACCUGCCCCUGACUCUGGGAUAACCCCGGGAAACCGGAGCUAAUACCGGAUACGACCUGCUCGGGCAUCCGAUGCGGGUGGAAAGAUUUAUCGGUUGGGAUGGGCUCGCGGCCUAUCAGCUUGUUGGUGGGGUGAUGGCCUACCAAGGCGACGACGGGAGCCGGCCUGAGAGGGCGACCGGCCACACUGGGACUGAGACACGGCCCAGACUCCUACGGGAGGCAGCAGUGGGGAAUUUUGGGCAAUGGGCGAAAGCCUGACCCAGCAACGCCGCGUGAAGGAUGAAG